ACGCAGCGAACUGCGAUAAGUAAUGUGAAUUGCAGAAUUCAGUGAAUCAUCGAGUCUUUGAACGCACAUUGCGCCCCCUGGCAUUCCGGGGGGCAUGCCUGUCCGAGCGUCAUUGCUGCCCUCAAGCCCGGCUUGUGUGUUGGGUCGUCGUCCCCC
RNAcentral lists this ribosomal RNA (156 nucleotides) under Aspergillus nidulans. RNAcentral's name for it is "5.8S ribosomal RNA". The stretch from base 1 to 112 matches the Rfam family "5.8S ribosomal RNA", at positions 43 to 154 of the family's 154-position model. From Rfam's summary of the family: 5.8S ribosomal RNA (5.8S rRNA) is a component of the large subunit of the eukaryotic ribosome. It is transcribed by RNA polymerase I as part of the 45S precursor that also contains 18S and 28S rRNA. Lineage: Eukaryota; Fungi; Ascomycota; Eurotiomycetes; Eurotiales; Aspergillaceae. The record is from RNAcentral.